AUGGCCCGUGCUACUAUUCUUUUGAAUUUUAAUGCGUUCUUAGAGAAAGCUAAGUUGAAAGAUGAUGGUAGCAACUACACGGACUGGGUCCAUAACUUGAGGAUUAUCCUCAUUGCUGCACAGAAGAAUUACGUCCUGAAAGCACCGCUAGGUGCAAGACCCGCUGCAGGAGCAACUCCAGAUGUUAUGAACGUCUGGCAGAGCAAAGCUGAAGACUACUCGAUAGUUCAGUGUGCCAUGCUUUACGACUUAGAACCGGGACUUCAACGACAUUUUGAACGUCGUCGAGCAUAUGAGAUGUUUCAGGAGUUGAAGUUAAUAUUUUAA
Molecule: ribosomal RNA, 327 nt
Filed under: Triticum aestivum (bread wheat)
Lineage: Eukaryota; Viridiplantae; Streptophyta; Magnoliopsida; Poales; Poaceae
Description: partial small subunit ribosomal RNA
Source: RNAcentral